Molecule: RNA transcript, 985 nt
Organism: Impatiens glandulifera
Lineage: Eukaryota; Viridiplantae; Streptophyta; Magnoliopsida; Ericales; Balsaminaceae
Gene name: cytochrome c oxidase copper chaperone 1-like
Exons: 3
Source: RefSeq, a predicted model, not a curated record
AUAAAUUGAUUGUGAAAUUCUGCGGCUGCGGCUUAAAUACGCAAUCUUUAAUACAACUUUCGUCUACCCAUUUCGUCCGCCCGCUUCUUGAACAAGACCAAUCCCGCCUCUCGUCUUCUUUGAAACCCUAGAACCCAACAAAGUUUUUACUGCUAGCUUUUUACCUCAACUAUCACGAGUGAUCAACAAAAUUACUUAACAAAGGGAUGAAGUCUAGAAAACAGAGACCUGCACGAAACUCAACACAACCAAUCAUCUUUUCGGUGCGCAGUUUAUGGUAAACACAAGAAUUAGCAAGAAAUUUGUUUUGUUAUUGAGAUCACAGUAUCCACUAACUGACACAAGAGUGCAAUCAAGAUCAUGUAACGAGUAGUACAUACUUGAGAAUUAAGCUCAACAUCUCUCCGCCAUAGGUAAUACCUUCUGAGAAGAUGGUGCACCAACUGAAGAAUACAGAAGCAGGUUAGAAAUUUUCAGGAUCAAAAGACGGCCGCCUAGCUAGAAGAGAACCAAGAAGCAGAUCAGAUGCAUUAAUCACCAAACCUGGUUAAGAAGAACUCUAGAGGGGUGGCUCUGCUGAAGAACAUUUCUUUAAUACCAUGAGAUGAAGUUUGAAAUAGUUUCAAAAUCUGAUCUUAUUGAUGUGGUUAGAUUUUGAUGUUUACAUUUGUGACUCCCAUUUGGAAAUACUUGUAGUUUUGGUAUCUGUAUCCGGAUCUAAUACAGAUAAACAACAAUAAAAUUUGAAUGUCUCUAACUAAGUUUAGUUUCUAUAACAUAGCUUCUUUCAAACAUAAAGGCAAUUGAGUUUCACAACUGCAUGUUUUUCCUCGGAAAUGACCUGAUUAUUCAGUAUAAUACUUGUUUGUUUUUAGUAAUAAUUCUAUACUUGCUGGAUGAAUGCCCAUAUAGAGCAUUUUGAUUCUGUCCUUUACUUCCAUUUUGGAAGAAGUUUGAAUUUCCAUGAUAAGGAAGUUAGUUUCUA